Molecule: ribosomal RNA, 497 nt
Filed under: uncultured bacterium
Lineage: Bacteria
Description: partial 16S ribosomal RNA
Rfam family: Bacterial small subunit ribosomal RNA
Source: RNAcentral
GAUGAACGCUGGCGGCGUGCCUAAUACAUGCAAGUCGAGCGAACGGACGAGAAGCUUGCUUCUCUGAUGUUAGCGGCGGACGGGUGAGUAACACGUGGAUAACCUACCUAUAAGACUGGGAUAACUUCGGGAAACCGGAGCUAAUACCGGAUAAUAUUUUGAACCGCAUGGUUCAAAAGUGAAAGACGGUCUUGCUGUCACUUAUAGAUGGAUCCGCGCUGCAUUAGCUAGUUGGUAAGGUAACGGCUUACCAAGGCAACGAUGCAUAGCCGACCUGAGAGGGUGAUAGGCCACACGGGAACUGAGACACGGUCCAGACUACUACGGGAGGCAGCAGUAGGGAAUCUUCCGCAGUGGGCGAAAGCCUGACGGAGCAACGCCGCGUGAGUGAUGAAGGUCUUCGGAUCGUAAAACUCUGUUAUUAGGGAAGAACAUAUGUGUAAGUAACUGUGCACAUCUUGACGGUACCUAAUCAGAAAGCCACGGCUAACUACGUG